GAUGAACGCUGGCGGCGUGCCUAACACAUGCAAGUCGAACGAAGCACUUAAGACGGAUCCUUCGGGGGAAGAUUUAAGUGACUGAGUGGCGGACGGGUGAGUAACGCGUGGGCAACCUGCCCUGUACAGGGGGAUAACAGUUGGAAACGGCUGCUAAUACCGCAUAAGCGCACAGUGGGACAUCCCACAGUGUGAAAAACUCCGGUGGUACAGGAUGGGCCCGCGUCUGAUUAGCUAGUUGGUAAGGUAACGGCUUACCAAGGCGACGAUCAGUAGCCGACCUGAGAGGGUGACCGGCCACAUUGGGACUGAGACACGGCCCAA
Molecule: ribosomal RNA, 324 nt
Filed under: uncultured bacterium
Lineage: Bacteria
Description: bacterial SSU rRNA
Rfam family: Bacterial small subunit ribosomal RNA
Source: RNAcentral